This 465-nucleotide ribosomal RNA is filed under the name uncultured bacterium. RNAcentral describes it as "partial 16S ribosomal RNA". It matches the Rfam family "Bacterial small subunit ribosomal RNA", at positions 28 to 507 of the family's 1533-position model. The record is from RNAcentral.
GACGAACGCUGGCGGCGUGCUUAACACAUGCAAGUCGAACGGAAAGGCCCUGCUUGCAGGGUACUCGAAUGGCGAACGGGUGAGUAACACGUGGGUGCUCUGCACUGCACUUCGGGUUAAGCCUGGGCAACUGGGUCUAAUACCGGAUAGGAGCCAUCUUCAGUGUGUUGGUUGGAAAGUUUUUUCGGUGUAGGAUGAGCUCGCGGCCUAUCAGCUUGUUGGUGGGGUAAUGGCCUACCAAGGCGGCGACGGGUAGCCGGCCGGAGAGGGUGGACGGCCACAUUGGGACUGAGAGACGGCCCAGACGCCUACGGGAGGCAGCAGUGGGGAAGAGUGCACAAUGGGCGCAAGCCGGAUGCAGCGACGCCGCGUGGGGGAGGACGGCCUUCGGGUUGUAAACUCCUUUCGCUAGGGACGAAGCUUUUUGUGACGGUACCUAGAUAAGAAGCACCGGCUAACUACGUG